CCCUUAGAUGUUCUGGGCCGCACGCGCGCUACACUGACUGGUGCAACAAGUGUCGCUCCUUGGCCGAUAGGCCUGGGCAAUCUUUGAACGCCAGUCGUGAUGGGGAUAGAUUCUUGCAAUUUUUGAUCUUCAACGAGGAAUUCCUAGUAAACGCGAGUCAUCAACUCGCAUUGAUUACGUCCCUGCCCUUUGUACACACCGCCCGUCGCACCUACCGAUUGAAUGGUCCGGUGAACCCUCCGGAUCGGCCCGCGCCAACGCAAGUUGAGCAAAGGCCGAGAAGUUGGGUAAACCUUACCACUUAGAGGAAGGUGAAGUCGUAACA
RNAcentral lists this ribosomal RNA (325 nucleotides) under uncultured eukaryote. RNAcentral's name for it is "partial 18S ribosomal RNA". It matches the Rfam family "Eukaryotic small subunit ribosomal RNA", at positions 1470 to 1796 of the family's 1831-position model. The record is from RNAcentral.